CCUACGGGAGGCAGCAGUGAGGAAUAUUGGUCAAUGGACGUGAGUCUGAACCAGCCAAGUAGCGUGAAGGAUGACUGCCCUAUGGGUUGUAAACUUCUUUUAUAUGGGAAUAAAACAGGGUACGCAUACUCUCUUGUAUGUACCAUAUGAAUAAGGACCGGCUAACUCCGUGCCAGCAGCCGCGGUAAUACGGAGGAUCCGAGCGUUAUCCGGAUUUAUUGGGUUUAAAGGGAGCGUAGGUGGAUUGUUAAGUCAGUUGUGAAAGUUUGCGGCUCAACCGUAAAAUUGCCGUUGAAACUGGCAGUCUUGAGUGCAGGAGAGGUGGGCGGAAUUCGUGGUGUAGCGGUGAAAUGCUUAGAUAUCACGAAGAACUCCGAUUGCGAAGGCAGCUCACUGGACUGCAACUGACGCUGAUGCUCGAAGGCGUGGGUAGCGAACAGGAUUAGAUACCCGUGUAGUC
RNAcentral lists this ribosomal RNA (460 nucleotides) under uncultured bacterium. RNAcentral describes it as "partial 16S ribosomal RNA". It matches the Rfam family "Bacterial small subunit ribosomal RNA", at positions 338 to 795 of the family's 1533-position model. The record is from RNAcentral.